AUAAAUUAAUGUGGUCGAUCUUUUUCAAGUAAAAAUACUACGAAAAUUGAGUUUACAAAAUCAUGAGAUACAAAGAAAAGUGGAAAAUCUCGGAUCAUUGAAGUAUAUAUACAUCUUUUGAGCAUAACAUAACAAAUUCAAAACCUAACACAUAGGAAACUCUCGGUUUAUAUAUUUGAUUCAUCUAUCGAAGUAUCAAAACCUAACCUAACACAACAAAUUCAAAACCCUAGAUCAUGAUGCUUAGCUUGCAGAAGAAGAAUGUGGAAACUCUCGGAUCACCGUGAUAUUAUCGCAUCAAUGGCUUCAGUAAUAAGUAACCUAUUAUAGUAAGGCCAUAGAGAAAGCAUCAGAGAAUCACUAUCAUCACUUUCAAUCUCAUCAAGUGUGAAAAGAGGGUUGCUUAUAGAAGAAGGAGCAUAUUCAUUGAUGAAGAGCAAGAUGAUCAAGCUGAUUUUACAAGUGUUCACCAUUGUUGAAGAGAAGCUUAGGCUUUUAGGGUUUUACUUUUUUUUUAAGAAAGCUU
Molecule: long non-coding RNA, 526 nt
Filed under: Capsella grandiflora
Lineage: Eukaryota; Viridiplantae; Streptophyta; Magnoliopsida; Brassicales; Brassicaceae
Description: long non-coding RNA (CGRA_LNC000579)
Source: RNAcentral